RNAcentral lists this transfer RNA (72 nucleotides) under Spongospora subterranea. Its description in RNAcentral is "tRNA-Met". It matches the Rfam family "tRNA". Rfam says of the family: Transfer RNA (tRNA) molecules are approximately 80 nucleotides in length. Their secondary structure includes four short double-helical elements and three loops (D, anti-codon, and T loops). The record is from RNAcentral. Lineage: Eukaryota; Endomyxa; Phytomyxea; Plasmodiophorida; Plasmodiophoridae.
UGCAGUAUUGAGUAAGUGGUAACUCAUUAGAUUCAUGCUCUGAAAAUAUUGGUUCAAGUCCAAUUAUUGCAA